AUUCCAGACUCCUACGGGAGGCAGCAGUGGGGAAUAUUGGGCAAUGGGCGCAAGCCUGACCCAGCAACGCCGCGUGAAGGAAGAAGGCUUUCGGGUUGUAAACUUCUUUUCUUGGGGACGAAGAAAGUGACGGUACCCAAGGAAUAAGCCACGGCUAACUACGUGCCAGCAGCCGCGGUAAUACGUAGGUGGUAAGCGUUAUCCGGAUUUACUGGGUGUAAAGGGCGUGUAGGCGGGGAAGCAAGUCAGCGGUAAAAAUUCGGGGCUCAACCCCGUCGUGCCGUUGAAACUGAUGUUCUUGAGUGGGCGAGAAGUAUGCGGAAUGCGUGGUGUAGCGGUGAAAUGCAUAGAUAUCACGCAGAACUCCGAUUGCGAAGGCAGCAUACCGGCGCCCAACUGACGCUGAAGCACGAAAGCGUGGGUAUCGAACAGGAUUAGAUACCCUGGUAAC
This 451-nucleotide ribosomal RNA is filed under the name uncultured bacterium. RNAcentral describes it as "bacterial SSU rRNA". It matches the Rfam family "Bacterial small subunit ribosomal RNA", at positions 328 to 795 of the family's 1533-position model. The record is from RNAcentral.